Molecule: ribosomal RNA, 492 nt
Filed under: uncultured bacterium
Lineage: Bacteria
Description: partial 16S ribosomal RNA
Rfam family: Bacterial small subunit ribosomal RNA
Source: RNAcentral
AGUGAACGCUGGCGGUAGGCCUAACACAUGCAAGUCGAACGGCAGCACAGUAAGAUCGUGCUCUUACGGGUGGCGAGUGACGGACGAGUGAGGAAUACAUCGUAAUCUACUGUUUCGGGGGGGAUAACGUGGGGAGACUGACGCUAAUACCGCAUACCACCUACGACUGAAAGCAGGGGAGAUUGGUACCUUUCGCUAUUUAAUGAGCCGAUGUCGGAUUAGUUAGUUGGCGGGGUAAAGGCCCACCAAGGCAACGAUCCGUAGCUAGCCUGAGAGGAUGAUCGCCAAAAUUGGACUUGAGACACGGUCCAGACUCCUCCGGGAGGCACCAGUGGGGAAUAUUGGACAAUGGGCGCAAGCCUGACCCAGCAAUCCCGCGUGGGUGAAGAAGGUCUCGGGGUUGUAAAGCCCUUUUGUUGGGAAAGAAAAGCAGCAGGUUAAUACCCCGAUGUUGUGACGGUAACCACCGAAUAAGCAACGGCUAACUUCGUG